CCAGGAUGUUGGCUUAGAAGCAGCCACUCAUUAAAAGAGUGCGUAAUAGCUCACUAGUCGAGAGAUCCUGCGCCGAAGAUGUUCGGGGCUAAAACUUACCACCGAAGCUACGGGCUUGAAUUUAUUCAAGCGGUAGAGGAGCGUCGUAAUCGGGCUGAAGUCAUACCGUAAGGAGUGGUGGACUGAUUACGAGUGAGAAUGUUGGCAUUAGUAGCGAGAUGUAGGUGAGAAUCCUACAGGCCGAAUACCUAAGGUUUCCUCAGGAAGGCUCGUCCGCUGAGGGUUAGUCGGGACCUAAGCCGAGGCCGAAAGGCGUAGGUGAUGGACAACUGGUUGAUAUUCCAGUACCACUACCAUCGUUAUUAUCGAUGGCGUGACGCAGGAGGAUAGUGUGUGCUAGCUAUUGGAUGCUAGUCUAAGCAUUUAGUCAGUUACAAUAGGCAAAUCCGUUGUAAUAAUGAUGAGAUGUUAUGGGGAAGGUUCUAUAGAACCGAAGUACAUGAUUCCACGCUGCCAAGAAAAGCGUCUAGAGAGAGAAGUAGUGCCCGUACCGCAAACCGACACAGGUAGGUGAGGAGAGAAUCCUAAGGCCGGCGGAAGAAUUGCAGUUAAGGAACUCGGCAAAUUGAUCCCGUAAGUUAGCAAUAAGGGAUGCCUAUGAGAGUAGGCCGCAGAGAAUAGGCUCAAGCAACUGUUUAGCAAAAACACAGGUCUAUGCGAAACCGAAAGGUGAGGUAUAUGGGCUGACGCCUGCCCGGUGCUGGAAGGUUAAGGGGAGAGCUUAGCGCAAGCGAAGGUUUGAACUUAAGCCCCAGUAAACGGCGGCCGUAACUAUAACGGUCCUAAGGUAGCGAAAUUCCUUGUCAGGUAAGUUCUGACCCGCACGAAUGGCGUAAUGAUUUGGGCACUGUCUCGACAGCCCGCCCGGCGAAAUUGUAGUACUGGUGAAGAUGCCAGUUACCCGCAACUAGACGGAAAGACCCCAUGGAGCUUUACUGCAGUUUAAUACUGGGAAUCGGUAAUUCAUGUACAGGAUAGGUGGGAGACUGAGAAGCACGGCCGUCAGGUCGUGUGGAGUCACCGGUGGGAUACCACUCUUGGAUUGCUGGUUUCCUAACCUGCGGCCCUGAAUCGGGUCGGGGGACACUGUUAGACGGGCAGUUUGACUGGGGCGGUCGCCUCCAAAAGAGUAACGGAGGCGCUCAAAGGUUGGCUCAGCAUGGAUGGAAACCAUGCAAUAGAGUGUAAACGCAAAAGCCAGCCUAACUGCGAGACUGACGAGUCGAGCAGUAACGAAAGUUGGAGUUAGUGAUCCGGCGGUAUGAGAGUGGAAUUGCCGUCGCUCAACGGAUAAAAGCUACCUCGGGGAUAACAGGCU
Molecule: ribosomal RNA, 1378 nt
Filed under: human gut metagenome
Description: bacterial LSU rRNA
Rfam family: Bacterial large subunit ribosomal RNA
Source: RNAcentral